Molecule: small nuclear RNA, 161 nt
Organism: Abrus precatorius (Indian licorice)
Lineage: Eukaryota; Viridiplantae; Streptophyta; Magnoliopsida; Fabales; Fabaceae
Product: U1 spliceosomal RNA
Exons: 1
Source: RefSeq, a predicted model, not a curated record
AAUCUUAAGAACACGGGGUUAGUGGGUGAUCAUGAAGACCCAUGACCUAGGUUAGUGAUCUCCAUUGCACUUGGGGAGACGCUAACUUAAGCUCUUCUCAAAUGAGGAGAGACUACGUGACAUUUUUUAGUAGUGAGGGUGUGUGUUUGCGUUGUCCCAUA